CCUACGGGUGGCAGCAGUCGGGAAUAUUGCACAAUGGGGGGAACCCUGAUGCAGUGACGCCGCGUGGGUGAGGAAGCACCUCGGUGCGUAAAGCCCUAUCAGCAGGGAAGAAAAUGACGGUACCUGACUAAGAAGCCCCGGCUAACUACGUGCCAGCAGCCGCGGUAAUACGUAGGGGGCAAGCGUUAUCCGGAUUUACUGGGUGUAAAGGGGGCGCAGACGGCGAGGCAAGCCAGGAGUGAAAGGCCGGGGCCCAACCCCGGGACUGCUCUUGAAACUGGGUGGCUGGAGUGCAGGAGGGGCAGGCGGAAUUCCUGGUGUAGCGGUGAAAUGCGUAGAUAUUAGGAGGAACACCGGUGGCGAAGGCGGCCUGCUGGACGGCAACUGACGUUGAGGCUCGAAAGCGUGGGGAGCAAACAGGAUUAGAUACCCGUGUAGUC
RNAcentral lists this ribosomal RNA (440 nucleotides) under uncultured bacterium. RNAcentral describes it as "partial 16S ribosomal RNA". It matches the Rfam family "Bacterial small subunit ribosomal RNA", at positions 338 to 795 of the family's 1533-position model. The record is from RNAcentral.